CCUGAAAGGCAGGUGCCAGUAGGUGUCACUUCCUGUUGCCACAGUUGAAUGGCAGGUGCCAGUGGGUGUCACUUCCUGUUGCCAGUUGCCGUUUGAGGAUCGAACCCUUACUGCCUGAGAGAGAGAGAGAGAGAAGAACGAGCCAGAAACCCCUUAAACAUGACGUUUUCUGGAGUAUUAUGACCAGAGCCUACCUGGAAUCAUAAGGAGCAAGGCAGACCGUGAGCCAAUCCAUUACUGGCUACCACAGACACUGACUGCUUCUGGCAGGUAGGAAGAAACUCUCAGAAAGAGAACACAAACUUCUCACAGACCAUAACCACUAUGCACCACUAUACAUC
Molecule: long non-coding RNA, 341 nt
Filed under: Astyanax mexicanus (Mexican tetra)
Lineage: Eukaryota; Metazoa; Chordata; Actinopteri; Characiformes; Acestrorhamphidae
Description: lncRNA (ENSAMXG00005018896.1)
Source: RNAcentral